AGGAUGAACGCUGGCGGCGUGCCUAACACAUGCAAGUCGAACGUCCUGUCUCGCAAGAGGCAGGGAGUGGCGGACGGGUGAGUACCACGUGGGUCAUCUACCGUGAGGUGAGGAAUACCGGCGAGAAAUCGCCGACAAGACCGCAUAGGCUCGAUGCAAGUCGAGCAAAGCUCUUUCGAGAGAGGGAGCGCCACACGAGGAGCCUGCGCCCGAUUAGCUAGCUGGUGGAGUAACGGUUCACCAGGGCGACGAUCGGUAGCUGGUCUGAGAGGACGAUCAGCCACACUGGGAUUGAGAACGGCCCAGACUCCUACGGGGGGCAGCAGUGAGGAAUUUUCGUCAAUGGGGGCAACCCUGAACGAGCAACGCCGCGUGCAGGAAGAAGGUUUCGGAUCGUAAACUGCUUUUCUCGGGAAGAGAACGGACGGUACCCGAGGAAUCGAGCCCGGCUAACUACGCGCCAGCAGCCGCGGU
This 474-nucleotide ribosomal RNA is filed under the name uncultured bacterium. RNAcentral's name for it is "SSU rRNA". It matches the Rfam family "Bacterial small subunit ribosomal RNA", at positions 26 to 521 of the family's 1533-position model. The record is from RNAcentral.